UACUAUAGCUUGACACUGAACAUUGAGCCUUGAUGUGUAGGAUAGGUGGGAGGCUUGGAAGUGUGGACGCCAGUCUGCAUGGAGCCGACCUUGAAAUACCACCCUUUAAUGUUUGAUGUUCUAACGUUGACCCGUAAUCCGGGUUGCGGACAGUGUCUGGUGGGUAGUUUGACUGGGGCGGUCUCCUCCUAAAGAGUAACGGAGGAGCACGAAGGUUGGCUAAUCCUGGUCGGACAUCAGGAGGUUAGUGCAAUG
RNAcentral lists this ribosomal RNA (255 nucleotides) under Escherichia coli. RNAcentral's name for it is "partial 23S ribosomal RNA". It matches the Rfam family "Bacterial large subunit ribosomal RNA", at positions 2102 to 2356 of the family's 2925-position model. Lineage: Bacteria; Pseudomonadati; Pseudomonadota; Gammaproteobacteria; Enterobacterales; Enterobacteriaceae. The record is from RNAcentral.